Molecule: non-coding RNA, 473 nt
Organism: Heterocephalus glaber (naked mole-rat)
Lineage: Eukaryota; Metazoa; Chordata; Mammalia; Rodentia; Bathyergidae
Source: the annotation of a RefSeq genome assembly
UUCUAUUUCUCAAAAUGAGGCUCCUUCUUCAGCUCCUGGGGCUGCUAAUGCUCGGGAUCCCAGGAUCCACUGGAGAUGUUGUGAUGACGCAGACCCCACUCUCUCUGUCCAUCACCUCUGGAGAGCCAGCCUCCAUCUCCUGCAGGUCCAGUCAGAGCCUCCUACACAGUAACGGGAAGACCUAUUUGAAUUGGAUUGUACACAAGCCAGGCCAGUCUCCUCGGCGAAUGAUUUAUCAGGUGACCAACAGGGACUCAUGGGUCCCUGAUAGGUUCAGUGGCAGCGGGUCGGGGACAGAUUUCACACUCAAAAUCAGCAGGGUGGAGGCUGAGGAUGCUGGAGUUUAUUACUGUGUGCAAGGUACACGUGCUCCUCACACAGUGAUACAACCCCGAACACAAACCUCCCUCCCUGGGGAGGCCCAGCUGCCCUCUUGUGCUGCUGUCUGGGGAGCAGCACUGCAGAGUCUCUGA